This is a long non-coding RNA of Limulus polyphemus (Atlantic horseshoe crab), 3838 nucleotides long. RefSeq lists it as uncharacterized. NCBI's taxonomy places the organism in Eukaryota, Metazoa, Arthropoda, Merostomata, Xiphosura, Limulidae. The record is from RefSeq and is a predicted model, not a curated record. The transcript has 3 exons.
AUGUAAUAGGCUCUCGGAAGAAAAUCAGAAUUUGUAGGUAGUUUCAAUUUUAUGUGCAAAACUAAUUAUCUAAGAGGUAUUGUCUCAUCCCCUGGUUGGCUAUUUACCUUUGGAGUACGUGCAUAGUUAGGCAAUGUAGUACUACUGUUACUUUGGUAUUGCACUUACGGAUGUGGGUAACAGUGACAUUGUUACGCAAGUUAAUUUGUAAGUUGAACCUGAUAUACGUUUGAUUUAAAUCUUGAGAUUAAAGCUGAAAGUGAAACUUCUAUCUUCAAGUUCUACGCCCCAGCGCAGGACUAAGCUAGUAGCAGUACGAGAACAGGAAAUUGACACUGUAUUUUAGUAAAAUUUUUACUAGAAAAAAUCUUGCACACCAGUGAACUACUACAGGAGUCAUGUUCCAGUUUCAAAAUCCACAAAACAUGCAAUACAUUACAAGAAUGAGGUGUGGGGGAGUAUUAGCUUUUGCUGGGUUUGGACUGAUUUUCAUGGGUUGUUUUGUCACUGGUUUUGCAUAUAAACCAAGGUAUCCUCCUUUUGAUGAUCCCUUUUUUGACAGGGGUCCACAGCCAGAUAAAAUAAUUGGACCAGUGCUUCUUGUUUUGGGCUUUACAAUACUAGUGUUUGGAAUUAUUUUGUAUAUCAGAACAAAGACAAUGCUACAAUCUGUAGUCCAAUGGCAACCACAACAAGUGGUAAACACACAACCACCUCUCUUGUCAGGUGCUACACCUUUUCAGCCUUAUCCACCACCACCAGGAGCAAACGUUUUUGAUGGAAGACCAAAUCAACAUUUCUAUGGAUCAGGGAGAGUUAACCCUCCCAAUGAACCCAUCAAUCAACCUUUUCCAAAUUAUGCACCACCACCCUAUCCAGCCUAUACUGGAGAGAACCAACAUCUUAAUGAUCCACCAGUACCAACUGCUCCUGACUUUUCUUCUACAAAACAGACUGCUGACUACUAGUUUUGCACCUGACUAGAAUGGAUUGCCAAACACACAGAUAUUUCUUAAAAGCCAAUUUUGAACUUAUUGACGAGAGGGAAAGCAGCUAGCCAACAGUACCCAACACCAGAUAGUGGGAUUUGUUAUAAAAUACCUACAGCAGAGCAAAAAUUUUUUUUUUGUGACUGGAAAUGAUUCAUAGCCUUGGUUGGCACAUUGUAUAUAAUUUAAGACUAAAUGUCUGAUACUUGGUAUUAAGUACUUUGCCUCUCAUAUUUCUUUUUUAACAUUACAGUACAUGUAAUUCUAAGUUUGGACAUUAGGUAUUUUUGAGAUAAAAGAAUAAUUUAUAAUAUUGGCAUUAUGUGAAUAAAUAACUGUGACAUUACAUAUUUUAUUUUAAUUUUUUUACUGUACCUAUCUAAUAACUAUGCAACUGACAAAUGUUUGAGAACGUGUAUAGAGAUGUAUUAACUUAGCAAAAUGUUAAAGAUACCAAUUUCUAUGUUGUCCUUUUUUAAUGCAAACAGUGAUGAAAGAACAGGUUACAUUUGUGGUUUUUAAAAACUAUAGUUUAUUUUUGACAAUAUAUAUAUAUAUAUAUUUUGAAAUAUUUUUGUACAUACAAAUACCCACUUCAUACUUAUGUUAAACUACAGAAAAUUGAAAAUGCUAUUUUGUGAGCUGUCAGCUAAAAUAGGCUCCAGUUUACAUUUCUUUUUUGGAUGUGUUGUGCAUUCUUGACUUUUUUUGGCGUGUCUUACCUGUAGAAAAUAGAUUAAUAGUAGUUCAAUAAAAACAAAAGCCUCUGAAUAUGUUAAAAAGAUCUAAUCAAAAACACCUUAGGUUACCAAAAAAAAGAAUAAAAUCAAACUGGUAGCUACACUUACAGCAAAUAUUCAUUCAUUAGAUAGCCAGGCUGCAUUUUUUGUUAACUUUGGGCAUGGUGGUGAGUAAAACAAAAUACAUGGCCUAGCUAACUAAUUAAUAAAAAUAUUUGUGUAAAAUUCUUAUCAAUGCUAUAAGUGUAGCUACCAGUUUGAUUUUAUUCUUUUUUUGGCACCUAAGGUGUUUAUGAUUUGGAUAUUAUAAAUUUUUGUCAAUACACACAAACAAACCAUAGCAAGUACAAAAGUGACACUCGAUAGUAGACCCACAUUAACUUUAGGGUUGCAACCUUAUUAUUUGGAACAGACCCUUACAGAACCAACCAGAUUCCUUAAAAUAUAUAGGGGUAGUUUUUACUUUCAAAAACAGGGUUAAUAACUUCCUUUAUAGUAACACCAUGAAAUUUAGAUUCAGUUUCUUGUCAUAACCCACAUGCACGUUGUAUAGCUGUAGCAAGCGUCAUUAUAAAUGCCAGUAUCACGUGACACUAGAUGCUCUUUAAUUAGAAGCAUUUUGUUAAAUUUAGUUAAUUUUUGCUUAAAAGUUGGCAAUGAAUAAUAACUGUCCACCCAUAUGAUUCUUUUGUAAAUUUGAGCUAAAAACUGCUAAUAUAGUUUGCUUGGUCUAACCAACAUUUAGGUAUCUGCAUGUGCUUUCACCCUGUAGUUUUGCUGCUCUAAAUCAACUGUCUUUAAUCUGAAUGACAAAAACAACCUACCUUUACUCUCAGGUGAAGCUUAGACUGAUAGCUCACAUUACUUUUUGUGUAGACGUGCUUAAAAUUGAAUGUUUUUUGUUGAAUAACUUUGCACAUGGGCUUAUAGUUGAAAAAAACAAACAAAAUCUAUGAAAGUUAAGUAUGUUUUUUUAAUUAAAUAAUGUUUCCCUACUACUAAUGUAAAGAAAAAAAAAGAAAUUCAAUCAAAAUUGGAGAUUUUUAUACUUCUUGUAUUUCUUAAUGGAUUGCCUCAAAAUUUGGUAUAUAAAGUAAGGGUCCAGUGGAGCACAUCUACUGAAAAUAUGAUAGUUUGGAUCACCACAGUUGGAAAAUUGCUAAACUAUCACUCCUGCUCAAAACAAUCUGCAAGACGCGGUGUCUUGGCCACAUGACACACUUCCACGCGUCUUGAUUAAAACAUAGUUUUACAAGAUAAUAAUAUGAACCAAUGUUAGACCCUGAGUAAUUAGUAGUUACAUAUCUCAAAUAAUAAAAUUUUCCAGCAUUGAAUUAAAUGAAACAUAUAAUCAAAACACCAGCAAUGGACUUCAGAAAUUUUCUGUCAAACAUUGUUAAUAUAAAAGCAAUAACCAAUUUUUGUUUUCAUUCUUUCAACCAUAUUUAACUUACACUAGACUUCUUCGAUGGAGAAACUGUCUGGAAAACAAAAUUUUUGGCACUCCGCGGGCCUGAUACACUGCUGUCACUGGCACUUUUUAGUUUUUCUGCAAGGCGUGAUAAAGUAUUUCCAUCUCGACAAAGGAAUGAUCCUUUCCGAGUCUAGAAUAGAGACCAAGUAUCACCAAGUUAGACAAAUAAUAUGAAUGUAUUCUAAUCAUACGAAAUAAAUAUGCAAUGAUUGUCCAUUAUCUAACUACUCUUAGAGCACACAAAUAUCAUAUAUUUCGGAGAGUAUACAAUGAAAAAAAAUAGCUGCCCCUAUUGCAAUAUACAUAAACUCUGCUAAAAUUUCUACUCCAACAGCCACCAAAAGGUUGAUAUGAAAAGCAGUUUCUUGAGUUAUACCCACUUUCAACUUUGGCUUGUAAGGCACUUCUGCAGCCAAUGACCAUCAAUUAAUUAAUCAUGUGAAACACAGUGGGUGUUGGAAGCGGGUAAAAGAAAGCACCACUACCUCUUCCUACAAAGUCACCCUGACCAUCGUACAGUGUAUACCAUGUUCUAAGUAUAUACAUAUUGAAUUCUUAUAGCUUAUACAAAACUUUUGGUGAGGUAAUAAUGAAUACGGUAGUAAUAUGGUAUAAAUAAACUUUGUGAAAAUUAU